GAUGAACGCUGGCGGCGUGCCUAAUACAUGCAAGUCGAGCGAACGGACGAGAGGCUUGCUUCUCUGAUGUUAGCGGCGGACGGGUGAGUAACACGUGGAUAACCUACCUAUAAGACUGGGAUAACUUCGGGAAACCGGAGCUAAUACCGGAUAAUAUUUUGAACCGCAUGGUUCAAAAGUGAAAGACGGUCUUGCUGUCACUUAUAGAUGGAUCCGCGCUGCAUUAGCUAGUUGGUAAGGUAACGGCUUACCAAGGCAACGAUGCAUAGCCGACCUGAGAGGGGGAUCGGCCACACUGGAACUGAGACACGGUCCAGACUCCUACGGGAGGCAGCAGUAGGGAAUCUUCCGCAAUGGGCGAAAGCCUGACGGAGCAACGCCGCGUGAGUGAUGAAGGUCUUCGGAUCGUAAAACGCUGUUAUUAGGGAAGAACAUAUGUGUAAGUAACUGUGCACAUCUUGACGGUACCUAAUCAGAAAGCCACGGCUAACUACGU
RNAcentral lists this ribosomal RNA (496 nucleotides) under uncultured bacterium. Its description in RNAcentral is "partial 16S ribosomal RNA". It matches the Rfam family "Bacterial small subunit ribosomal RNA", at positions 28 to 506 of the family's 1533-position model. The record is from RNAcentral.